GGAUGUGAGGGCGAUCUGGCUGCGACAUCUGUCACCCCAUUGAUCGCCAGGGUUGAUUCGGCUGAUCUGGCUGGCUAGGCGGGUGUCCCCUUCCUCCCUCACCACUCCAUGUGCGUCCCUCCCGAAGCUGCGCGCUCGGUCGAAGAGGACAACCUUCCCCGAUAGAGGAGAGGACCGUUCUUCGGUCAAGGGUAUACGAGUAGCUGCGCUCCCCUGCUAGAACCUCCAAACAAGCUCUCAAGAAAAAUGGCCUUGAGGAGCUUUCCAUUUGCAUAACUGAAGGAAAAUCUCUCAAGGCCUUU
Molecule: small nuclear RNA, 302 nt
Filed under: Mustela putorius furo (domestic ferret)
Lineage: Eukaryota; Metazoa; Chordata; Mammalia; Carnivora; Mustelidae
Description: 7SK RNA (ENSMPUG00000023671.1)
Rfam family: 7SK RNA
About the family: 7SK was discovered as an abundant small nuclear RNA in the mid-70s but a possible function has only recently been suggested.
Source: RNAcentral